RNAcentral lists this ribosomal RNA (497 nucleotides) under uncultured bacterium. RNAcentral's name for it is "partial 16S ribosomal RNA". It matches the Rfam family "Bacterial small subunit ribosomal RNA", at positions 899 to 1397 of the family's 1533-position model. The record is from RNAcentral.
ACUCAAAUGAAUUGACGGGGGCCCGCACAAGCAGUGGAGCAUGUGGUUUAAUUCGAUGCAACGCGAAGAACCUUACCUGGGCUUGAACUGUGAAGGAAUAUAUCAGAAAAGGUAUAGCCGCAAGGUCUUUACAGAGGUGCUGCAUGGCUGUCGUCAGCUCGUGCCGUGAGGUGUUUGGUUAAGUCCAGCAACGAGCGCAACCCUUAUCGUUAGUUGCCAGCGAGUAAUGUCGGGAACUCUAGCGAGACUGCCUAGGUCAACUAGGAGGAAGGUGAGGAUGACGUCAAGUCCGCAUGGCCUUUAUGUCCAGGGCUACACACGUGCUACAAUGGCCAGUACAGAAGGUUGCCAACCCGCGAGGGGGAGCUAAUCCUAAAAAGCUGGUCUCAGUUCGGAUUGCAGCCUGCAACUCGGCUGCAUGAAGUUGGAAUUGCUAGUAAUGGCGUGUCAGCUACAACGCCGUGAAUACGUUCCCGGGCCUUGUACACACCGCCCGU